AAUCGGGUCCUGCGCGGCAGAUGUCUAUGAACCCCGCUAGGUCCGUGAGGAAGCAACGGUAAAUGGGCCUCUCUGGGUGACGUAGGGGAGCCUGAUUGCG
This 100-nucleotide signal recognition particle RNA is filed under the name Chloroflexota bacterium. RNAcentral describes it as "signal recognition particle sRNA small type". It matches the Rfam family "Bacterial small signal recognition particle RNA". Rfam says of the family: The signal recognition particle (SRP) is a universally conserved ribonucleoprotein involved in the co-translational targeting of proteins to membranes. Archaeal SRP consists of a 7S RNA and homologues of the eukaryotic SRP19 and SRP54 proteins. The record is from RNAcentral. RNAcentral also lists the same sequence under 1 other name. Lineage: Bacteria; Bacillati; Chloroflexota.